GUGCCGCAGCUAACGCACUAAGCAUUCCGCCUGGGGAGUACGACCGCAAGGUUGAAACUCAAAGGAAUUGACGGGGGCCCGCACAAGCGGUGGAGCAUGUGGUUUAAUUCGAAGCUACGCGAAGAACCUUACCAGGUCUUGACAUCUUUUGACCACCUAAGAGAUUAGGUUUUCCCUUCGGGGACAAAAUGACAGGUGGUGCAUGGUUGUCGUCAGCUCGUGUCGUGAGAUGUUGGGUUAAGUCCCGCAACGAGCGCAACCCUUGUUGUCAGUUGCCAGCAUUUAGUUGGGCACUCUGGCGAGACUGCCGGUGACAAACCGGAGGAAGGUGGGGAUGACGUCAAAUCAUCAUGCCCCUUAUGACCUGGGCUACACACGUGCUACAAUGGGCAGUACAACGAGUCGCGAAACCGCGAGGUUUAGCAAAUCUCUUAAAACCGUUCUCAGUUCGGACUGCAGGCUGCAACUCGCCUGCACGAAGUCGGAAUCGCUAGUAAUCGCGGAUCAGCAUGCCGCGGUGAAUACGUUCCCGGGCCUUGUACACACCGCCCGUCACACCAUGAGAGU
RNAcentral lists this ribosomal RNA (567 nucleotides) under uncultured bacterium. RNAcentral describes it as "bacterial SSU rRNA". It matches the Rfam family "Bacterial small subunit ribosomal RNA", at positions 843 to 1411 of the family's 1533-position model. The record is from RNAcentral.